GGGCGAGGGUGUGAUUCCGCCGUUCUCGACGUCGCGCCGGGUUGGAUUUAGCUACCGAGAGCCUGCUGUUCCGGCUACUGCGUCUUCAGAGGCUGAUCGAGGCAAGGGCAUCGCGAGCUAGAGCCCUACCCGACGAAUCGCCGUGCUAGAGGAUCACCAGCUGCAGGUAGUAGUGUUUUUUAUUUUGAGCUUAUGUAUUUACUGAUACUAGAACUCGCUGGAGCGAGUGUUUUUGUACUUGUUAGUUUGUAUGUAUAUGAGAUUUGUUCAUUCUACCUGCUUAGUUCUUUUUAGCUCUACACUAUUGUUUGUAGUAUUGUAUAUUUUACAGAUACAGCUAUCGCUUCGUAUAUAGAAAAAAUUUCUUUGUAUACGGCGGAUUUGUCGGCGUGCCAGGGGAACGUGUAAUCCGGGGCGUGACAUUGUUUGUUUUUGUAGCCAUGAAAGUAAAGUUCUUUCAAUUUCCUUAUUUA
This is a long non-coding RNA of Ananas comosus (pineapple), 473 nucleotides long. RefSeq lists it as uncharacterized. The transcript has 2 exons. NCBI's taxonomy places the organism in Eukaryota, Viridiplantae, Streptophyta, Magnoliopsida, Poales, Bromeliaceae. The record is from RefSeq and is a predicted model, not a curated record.